AUACGUAGGGGGCGAGCGUUGUCCGGAAUGAUUGGGCGUAAAGGGCGCGUAGGCGGCCAUGUAAGUCUGAAGUGAAAGUCCUGUUUUUAAGAUGGGAAUUGCUUUGGAUACUGUGUGGCUUGAGUGCAGGAGAGGUAAGUGGAAUUCCCAGUGUAGCGGUGAAAUGCGUAGAGAUUGGGAGGAACACCAGUGGCGAAGGCGACUUACUGGACUGUAACUGACGCUGAGGCGCGAAAGUGUGGGGAGCAAACAGGAUUAGAUACCCUGGUAGUCCACACUGUAAACGAUGAAUGCUAGGUGUAGGGGGUAUCGACCCCUUCUGUGCCGCAGUAAACACAAUAAGCAUUCCGCCUGGGGAGUACGGCCGCAAGGUUGAAACUCAAAUGAAUUGACGGGG
This 397-nucleotide ribosomal RNA is filed under the name uncultured bacterium. RNAcentral describes it as "partial 16S ribosomal RNA". It matches the Rfam family "Bacterial small subunit ribosomal RNA", at positions 523 to 918 of the family's 1533-position model. The record is from RNAcentral.